AUUGAAUGAGCUUAUCCACUGUGGGAAAGAUGUAGAAUGAGGAGGCCGGUGACAAAACCCUGGGAAUAUGAACAUUUCCUAGAGGAAAAAGGGUUAGUAAAGAAGACUUAGCAGUGGCUAAAGAAAAAAGGAGAGAAAGUGAUGCUGCAAAAUUUUGUUUUAAAUGAGAAUUUCGAGGAGGGAGCAUCAAUUCUGAUAAGUGCAAUAACUACAAAGUAAAUUGGAUUAACCUUUUGAAAGCUCUCUCGUGCUACUUUUUUCGAAAGAAAAAUUUUAGAGUCACAAGAUCUAUUAUUUAUGAUUGGUACUUUUGGAGUUCCAGCAUGGAAGAAUGCACCUACUGAGAUCUUACUUAACUUUUUUAAUAACUGCAGCAGCUACCUUCACAAGGUUUUCUGGCAAACAAACUAUUGAUUAUUUAUUGCCUACAUCAGAUUAUGAAGACAUUGAUUCUGAUAUCAAGGAUGGAGCAAUUAAGCCAGCAAAUGGACAAAGACAAAAUGAUACUGGUGUUAUUGCAAGUGCCCCACAAGAAUACACAAAUAAUGACAGUUUAAUUUUGGUUCACAAAAACAACAGAAGUGAUACAACACCCACAUCAGGAUCCGGACAAGACAGAAAUAUGGAAUCACUUUUGGAUUCUGAGGAUGGAGCAGCUAAGCCAGCAAAUGGAAAAAGACAAAAUGGUACUGAUAUUAUUGAACGCGCCCCAUGAGAGCACACAAAUAGUAACAAUUUAAUUUACUGAAUGUCUCUGAUAAUUUUUUAAUGCUUAAAUGCUAUUUUAAAAAAACUUACUUAAAUAUGUAGACCCAGAUAUAAAAUCCAUUUCUUCUGGAUUUUUUCAUGCCUUUCUUCACGGUGCCGACUUCGUUUUCAUAAAUCUGCUCCAACCCUCUGAAUUUCUUUGUCGCUCCUUCAGUUUAUUGAAAUAUUUAUAAAUGGAUAUUUGCAUAUGUAUUUAAAAUUCAGAGCGAUAAAUGUUCUCUCAUGAAUGUAUCUGUGAAUAACAUCUUAUGACAUUUUACAGCUGCAGUGUCCUCAUCAGGCUCAGGACAAGAGGGCAAUGUAGAAUCACUUUUGGAUAUGAAGUAUUAGCUGUUGUUUUUUGUUGUUAUAUUAAAAAAUAAAACCAUUCUGUGAUGUUAAAUCAUAA
Molecule: long non-coding RNA, 1156 nt
Filed under: Rhinopithecus bieti (black snub-nosed monkey)
Lineage: Eukaryota; Metazoa; Chordata; Mammalia; Primates; Cercopithecidae
Description: lncRNA (ENSRBIG00000045263.1)
Source: RNAcentral